AUUUAAGUACAGGGACGCUUUAGAAGUGAUGUUGCCGGGCGAUGGUUGACCCGGUCGUAAGGGAUCGAAAAUGAGUAGAGAAGUCAUCAUGGAAAGAGACAAGAAAAGCUGUAUGAAUAUCUUAGGUGCCCGUACCGCAAACCGACACAGGUAGAUAGGAAGAAGAUUCUAAGGCCAACGGGAGAAGGGUUGUUAAGGAACUCGGCAAGUUGACCCCGUAACUUAGGGAUAAGGGGUGCUCAAGUGAUUGAGCCGCAGAGAAUAGGCCCAGGCGACUGUUUAGCAAAAACACAGGUCUCUGCUAAAUCGAAAGAUGACGUAUAGGGGCUACACCUGCCCGGUGCCGGAAGGUUAAGAGGAGAUGUGAGAGCAUUGAAUUGAAGCCCCGGUAAACGGCGGCCGUAACGAUAACGGUCCUAAGGUAGCGAAAUUCCUUGUCAGGUUCUGACCCGCACGAAAGGUGUAACGAUCUGGGCACUGUCUCAACAACCCGCCCGGCGAAAUUGUAGUACCGGUGAAGGUGCCGGUUACCCGCGACUAGACGGAAAGACCCCAUGGAGCUUUACUGUAGCCUAAUAUUGGAUUUCGGUAUUUCACGUACAGGAUAGGUGGGAGACUGGGAAGCACAGGCGUCAGCUUGUGUGGAGUCGACCUUGGGAUACCACUCUUGGAGUGCUGGAAUUCUAACCUGCGGCUUUGAAGCAAGUCGGGGGACAUUGUUAGGUGGGCAGUUUGACUGGGGCGGUCGCCUCCUAAAGAGUAACGGAGGCGCUCAAAGGUUCGCUCUGCAUGGAUGGAAACCAUGCGUCAGAGUGUAAACGCAAAAGCGAGCCUAACUGCGAGAAUGACGGUUCGAGCAGUAACGAAAGUUGGAGUUAGUGAUCCGGCGGUAUGUGAAUGGAAAUGCCGUCGCUCAACGGAUAAAAGCUACCCUGGGGAUAACAGGCUGAUCUCCCCCAAGAGUCCACAUCGACGGGGAGGUUUGGCACCUCGAUGUCGGCUCAUCGCAUCCUGGGGCUGAAUUCGGUCCCAAGGGUUUGGCUGUUCGCCAAUUAAAGCGGUACGCGAGCUGGGUUCAGAACGUCGUGAGACAGUUCGGUCCCUAUCUGUCGUGGGCGUAGGAUAUCUGCAAGGAGCUGUCCCUAGUACGAGAGGACCGGGAUGGACGCACCUCUGGUGCACCAGUUGUCACGCCAGUGGCACAGCUGGGCAGCUACGUGCGGAACGGAUAAACGCUGAAGGCAUCUAAGCGUGAAGCCGCCCUUAAGAUAAGAUAUCCCUUCUGUUUAUAGAGUAAGACCCCUUGAAGACUACAAGGUUGAUAGGCUCAAAGUGUAAGCACGGUGACGUGUUUAGCUAGCGAGUACUAAUCGGUCGAGGGCUUAACCAA
Molecule: ribosomal RNA, 1390 nt
Filed under: metagenome
Description: bacterial LSU rRNA
Rfam family: Bacterial large subunit ribosomal RNA
Source: RNAcentral